This 1429-nucleotide long non-coding RNA is filed under the name Homo sapiens (human). RNAcentral's name for it is "HSALNT0352615". The record is from RNAcentral. Lineage: Eukaryota; Metazoa; Chordata; Mammalia; Primates; Hominidae.
AUCCCCAUGGAGGGCAAUUCCCCACUAAAAGCUGGAGAAGUUAGCACUCUUUAAAGAACGAUCUUCUUUGAGGUUUGCAGACUCUCUCUAUUGUCCUCUUGGCUUACGCCCUUUGAAGAAGGAAGCUGCCAUAUUGGAGAGGCCCAUGAGGCAAGGAAUUGAGGGCAGGUUCUGGCCAACAGUCACUGAAGAACUGAGGCCCUUAGUCCGUCAGCCCAUGAGGAACUGCAUCCUGUCAAUGACCACGUGAGCUUGCAAUCAAAUCCUCAUCCCACUGAGCCUUGAGAUGACUCUGCUCCCAAGCAUCACCUUGACUCAGUGACCCUGAAGUAGAGGACCCAGGUACCAAAGUUGAAAGCCCCGAAUGCUCACAGAGCAGCUGGAACAAGAAUUACUGCCUGCAGGCGCUUCUGUCCACCAGCCACGUGUCAGUGAGUGGCCCUGGACCCAGCCAGGCAGCGUCUUCAGACUUCCAAAUAAGCCUGAAGAGGACAGGAGAGCGAGCAAUGUCUCCCUGAAUGGGACUACAGGGGACGCUGGUAACCGCACCUCAUUCAGCAACUUGAGAAACAUCAGCAAUAAUACUACAAGCAAUCGCUUAGGUACUUGACUGUGAGCAGGAAUAUGAGACAAGUGGAACACACUGGCUCUCAUUUUUUAAAGAUGAUUUCACCUUAAGAGGCCGUGGAACCCCAAAGUCAACCCCCAAGCAUCCCCAGAAGAAAAGUACACUUUGAAUAAUUACAGUCCUUUAACUUUCCUGAUUCAACCUUCAAAGGCCACGAAUUGCUUCUAACGAAGAAGCUGAAGUGAAAGAAGAAGGAACGUCAACAAAAAUGUCUGUUUGUGUUAUCUCUUUACUUUCACGGUUUAUAGGUUUGGGGGAAAGUUUUUAUUUUCGGUGGAAUAGAAGAAGGGAAGAAGAGAGACUAAAAAGCAUUUCUUAGAUUUCCAGAAGCAGUAAUGGAAAAUCCCGACCCUAGAGUCUUGCUUUCUUCCUAGAAAUAGAAUGCUCCUGAAGUUCCCAGGAGAGCCCUUGGCAGACAGAUGUCAAUCAUUCCAUCCCUUGUUUUGCUGGGUGGAGUCACUGGAGCUUAAAGAAGGGGAAGUAAACUCAAGCACACAUCCUGGUGACCUCUAGCCACGGGUCAAAUUUCACUGAUGUCAAUUAAAAAUGACCAAAGACCCGCCCCUGUGAAAACCCUGUGGGCAGCCAUUUUGUCUCAGGGAAACUGCCCAGAUCUGAUGUAAAGUAUUUCCGGACGUCUCUUCGUUGUAUAUGGCAUUUCCCUGAAAUAAGCAACUCUCUGAAAAAUAUCAUAGCGCAGAUCAAAAUGAAGUACUCUGUGGUGAAGUAGAAGUACACAGUCAACAAAGAAACUUGCCCUCAGGCUGCACAGUAAAACGUUGGAAAUCCCAGAGCAGCAAC